AGUUUGAUCCUGGCUCAGAGAUGAACGCUAGCGGCAGGCUUAAUACAUGCAAGUCGAGGGGCAGCAUGGGUAGCAAUACCUGAUGGCGACCGGCAAACGGGUGAGGAACACGUACGCAACUUCCCUAAAACUGGUGAAUAGCCCUCCGAAAGGAGGAUUAAUACACCGUAAGAUAACGAGAUGGCAUCAUUUUGUUAUUAUAGCUCCGGCGGUUUUAUGAUGGGCGUGCGCCUGAUUAGGUAGUUGGUAAGGUAACGGCUUACCAAGCCUACGAUCAGUAACUGGUGUGAGAGCACGACCAGUCACACGGGCACUGAGACACGGGCCCGACUCCUACGGGAGGCAGCAGUAAGGAAUAUUGGUCAAUGGACGAAAGUCUGAACCAGCCAUGCCGCGUGAAGGAUGAAGGUCCUCUGGAUUGUAAACUUCUUUUAUCUGGGACGAAAAAAGGCCAUUCUUGGCCACUUGACGGUACCAGAGGAAUAAGCACCGGCUAACUCCGUGCCAGCAGCCGCGGUAAUACGGAGGGUGCAAGCGUUAUCCGGAUUCACUGGGUUUAAAGGGUGCGUAGGUGGAUUGGUGAGUCCGUGGUGAAAUCUCCGAGCUUAACUCGGAAACUGCCGUGGAUACUAUCAGUCUUGAAUUUCCUAGAGGUAAGCGGAAUAUGUCAUGUAGCGGUGAAAUGCUUAGAUAUGACAUAGAACACCAAUUGCGAAGCAGCUUACUACGGAAUAUUGACACUGAGCACGAAAGCGUGGGGAUCAAACAGGAUAGAUACCCUGGUAGUCCACGCCCUAAAC
This 800-nucleotide ribosomal RNA is filed under the name uncultured bacterium. RNAcentral's name for it is "bacterial SSU rRNA". It matches the Rfam family "Bacterial small subunit ribosomal RNA", at positions 10 to 807 of the family's 1533-position model. The record is from RNAcentral.